This 2139-nucleotide ribosomal RNA is filed under the name Salmonella enterica. RNAcentral's name for it is "bacterial LSU rRNA". It matches the Rfam family "Bacterial large subunit ribosomal RNA", at positions 692 to 2812 of the family's 2925-position model. The record is from RNAcentral. Lineage: Bacteria; Pseudomonadati; Pseudomonadota; Gammaproteobacteria; Enterobacterales; Enterobacteriaceae.
GCGUUAAGUUGCAGGGUAUAGACCCGAAACCCGGUGAUCUAGCCAUGGGCAGGUUGAAGGUUGGGUAACACUAACUGGAGGACCGAACCGACUAAUGUUGAAAAAUUAGCGGAUGACCUGUGGCUGGGGGUGAAAGGCCAAUCAAACCGGGAGAUAGCUGGUUCUCCCCGAAAGCUAUUUAGGUAGCGCCUCGUGAAUUCAUCUCCGGGGGUAGAGCACUGUUUCGGCUAGGGGGCCAUCCCGGCUUACCAACCCGAUGCAAACUGCGAAUACCGGAGAAUGUUAUCACGGGAGACACACGGCGGGUGCUAAUGUCCGUCGUGAAGAGGGAAACAACCCAGACCGCCAGCUAAGGUCCCAAAGUCAUGGUUAAGUGGGAAACGAUGUGGGAAGGCCCAGACAGCCAGGAUGUUGGCUUAGAAGCAGCCAUCAUUUAAAGAAAGCGUAAUAGCUCACUGGUCGAGUCGGCCUGCGCGGAAGAUGUAACGGGGCUAAACCAUGCACCGAAGCUGCGGCAGCGACACCGUGUGUUGUUGGGUAGGGGAGCGUUCUGUAAGCCUGUGAAGGUGUGCUGUGAGGCAUGCUGGAGGUAUCAGAAGUGCGAAUGCUGACAUAAGUAACGAUAAAGCGGGUGAAAAGCCCGCUCGCCGGAAGACCAAGGGUUCCUGUCCAACGUUAAUCGGGGCAGGGUGAGUCGACCCCUAAGGCGAGGCCGAAAGGCGUAGUCGAUGGGAAACGGGUUAAUAUUCCCGUACUUGGUGUUACUGCGAAGGGGGGACGGAGAAGGCUAUGUUGGCCGGGCGACGGUUGUCCCGGUUUAAGCGUGUAGGUAUGUGUUCCAGGUAAAUCCGGUUCACUUUAACACUGAGGCGUGACGACGAGGCACUACGGUGCUGAAGCAACAAAUGCCCUGCUUCCAGGAAAAGCCUCUAAGCAUCAGGUAACAUCAAAUCGUACCCCAAACCGACACAGGUGGUCAGGUAGAGAAUACCAAGGCGCUUGAGAGAACUCGGGUGAAGGAACUAGGCAAAAUGGUGCCGUAACUUCGGGAGAAGGCACGCUGACACGUAGGUGAAGUGAUUUACUCACGGAGCUGAAGUCAGCCGAAGAUACCAGCUGGCUGCAACUGUUUAUUAAAAACACAGCACUGUGCAAACACGAAAGUGGACGUAUACGGUGUGACGCCUGCCCGGUGCCGGAAGGUUAAUUGAUGGGGUCAGCGCAAGCGAAGCUCCUGAUCGAAGCCCCGGUAAACGGCGGCCGUAACUAUAACGGUCCUAAGGUAGCGAAAUUCCUUGUCGGGUAAGUUCCGACCUGCACGAAUGGCGUAAUGAUGGCCAGGCUGUCUCCACCCGAGACUCAGUGAAAUUGAACUCGCUGUGAAGAUGCAGUGUACCCGCGGCAAGACGGAAAGACCCCGUGAACCUUUACUAUAGCUUGACACUGAACAUUGAGCCUUGAUGUGUAGGAUAGGUGGGAGGCUUUGAAGUGUGGACGCCAGUCUGCAUGGAGCCGACCUUGAAAUACCACCCUUUAAUGUUUGAUGUUCUAACGUGGACCCGUGAUCCGGGUUGCGGACAGUGUCUGGUGGGUAGUUUGACUGGGGCGGUCUCCUCCUAAAGAGUAACGGAGGAGCACGAAGGUUGGCUAAUCCUGGUCGGACAUCAGGAGGUUAGUGCAAUGGCAUAAGCCAGCUUGACUGCGAGCGUGACGGCGCGAGCAGGUGCGAAAGCAGGUCAUAGUGAUCCGGUGGUUCUGAAUGGAAGGGCCAUCGCUCAACGGAUAAAAGGUACUCCGGGGAUAACAGGCUGAUACCGCCCAAGAGUUCAUAUCGACGGCGGUGUUUGGCACCUCGAUGUCGGCUCAUCACAUCCUGGGGCUGAAGUAGGUCCCAAGGGUAUGGCUGUUCGCCAUUUAAAGUGGUACGCGAGCUGGGUUUAGAACGUCGUGAGACAGUUCGGUCCCUAUCUGCCGUGGGCGCUGGAGAACUGAGGGGGGCUGCUCCUAGUACGAGAGGACCGGAGUGGACGCAUCACUGGUGUUCGGGUUGUCAUGCCAAUGGCACUGCCCGGUAGCUAAAUGCGGAAGAGAUAAGUGCUGAAAGCAUCUAAGCACGAAACUUGCCCCGAGAUGAGUUCU